Molecule: long non-coding RNA, 2680 nt
Organism: Cucumis melo (muskmelon)
Lineage: Eukaryota; Viridiplantae; Streptophyta; Magnoliopsida; Cucurbitales; Cucurbitaceae
Exons: 8
Source: RefSeq, a predicted model, not a curated record
CUUCGUGCUCCCUCUAAACCAAUAUCGUUGCCCCUAUUUUUCCUCUCUUCUAAGCAGCCUUGCUGCCGCAACCUUCAUGUUUCCGCUUAAGCUGAGCCUCAAUAAAGCCCCAUUGUCGUCAGGUUCCUCGUCCAGCCAUUUUUGCCUAAGCCCAACGCCAGCUGCUAUCGCAUUCUCGUGAAUCACAAUCGCUCGUCGUCGCCCCACUGUUUGCACCGUUAACUUCUUCUUCCUUGUGCACCGCUCGAAGAAGCCACGCCACCGUCGUCGCAUUUCACUAAGUCGUGCACCACCCGAGCCGUCCCUCACCUUCUAGCCACGAGCCAUGUGCGUGCCAACAACUUCCCUCUUCACCCGAGCCAUUUCCCUCAAAGCUGAGUCAUGUGUACGAGUUUCCUUUUCAGCCGUUUUGAGUUUUCUUGUGUUUGUAUGCUGCUUUUGCCUUGUUGUGGGUUUUGUGGUGUUGGAGUUGAGUUCUUGAAUUUCCAAAAAGCUUGACUUGGAGUUUGAUUCUCUAUUUACUUGGGUUGGUUCAUUGGACUUCAAUUUGACCAAGGAUCUUAGCUAAACGUAAGUUGCUGUCUUUCAAGGCUUCUCAAAAUGAGACGCAAAGGAAAGUUAUUGUCGAUCCACUCGUUUCUUCAGACACUCAUAGGCCACAGUCUUCUAUAAUUCACCUUUCACUUUAUUCCUUUCUAUCUUUGAUCAUGCUCUGAGUUUUGAUGUAACUAAUGAACCAUAACAAAUUGGCCUUUAUGAUAAUUCAUUGAUUUUGGUUUGACGGGUUUCUCUUUUGUAUGUAGAAAAAUGUAGCCUCAAAUAAGAAACCUGUAAACCAGUAUGCAAUGGCAGUUUACCCUAUAAACCAUACUAUUUUCUCUUUUGCCGGAGGGUUUGAGGAGAUUGCAUGUCGUCCACGUCUGUCUAGUGUCAUCUUCGUCUACCUCUUCUCUAAGGCUCUAGCUUUACCCUAGGACAUAUAUAUAUAUAUAUAUAUAUAUAUAUAUAUAUAUAUAUCUUCUUUUAGUAAAGCUGUUUGUUUAGUUUUAGAAUCGAUUUAAUGUCUUAAACCGGACCAAACCGCAUAAGAAGCGGUUUUAAUUUAAUACAAACUGAAUCGAACCACAUGCAUUUGGUUUUAAUUGAAUUUGUCAAUGGUUCAAUUUUCAACUAUUUUUUGAACAUUCCUAUUGUGCAUGGUUAUUUUCUUUUCAAACAACCACAAAUCUAAGAAUAUAAUAUAAGAAUAUAGUCAAAAUUUAUAUAAAUAAUUUCAUACCACAAAUGCUUCAAUAGGAGAAAAGUUUAGGAAAAUGAUUCUCUUUUAAGAAAUAAUGAUGGAAAAAUGUUGAGGGUAUGGAGGGAAAAUGUGAAGGAAAAUGGGAGAAGGAGAGGAAAGGAGAGAGCCGAGAGGUUUUGUGAACGACGAGAGGAUUUGUGUGAAGGAUUUGAAGAAGGUGGAGUUUUAAAGGAGAAGGGUGAGUCUUAGACGCCCUCUGUCACAAGAAAGUUUCUUCCCAUUCUGAAAAGAGGAGACUCGCCCCGAAUUUGUCCACUCUAUUUUGUUAAACCUUGCAUGUCUUCAGCCUUUGACUAUCUAUAUUUGACCUUUUUUUUUUAAAAUUAGAUCGAGGAUUCAACGCAGGACUCAAACACUUAAACUUGAAAUUAACUCGGAGCGAGUUUGAUAAUUUGUUUUGAACAACUUUAUUAUGAAAAUGUGUUUUGAAUAACAUUAUUAUUAUGAUAAGUUGUUUUGUAAGAGCAUUAUUUUGAUAACAAGUUCUAAAAAUAACAUUAUUAAAAUAAAUUGGGGUUUUUUAAUAGAGAAAAAUAAAAGGCAAUUUGGACUUUUCACAUCCCCUAAACAAAUUUCCACUCCUUCUUCAUUUGUGAAUCAGUCUCAUCUCUCUCACCACAUUUAGGCUCCAGAUCUUUCCUUUUGCCAAUCUCUCCCUAAGCUUCAUCGCUUCACCUCUAUUUUCAUCGAAUCGGUGAAAUCUCAUCAUGGAUUUGUUAUUGUGAUGCCACCAUAAUUUCUGUUCUACUUUUACUGUAAUUGACUAAUUGUUUUUUUUUUUUUUUUUUAUUAUGUCACUUCCGUUGGAUAUUGUUCGAGCCUCCUUAAUGGGUAAUUUUUCUUUUUACUUGUACAAAGUUUCCUAAACCCUAUAUCCAUAUGUGUGUUUGUGUGUCUCUACUUUUUCACAUUUCAGUAAUCGAUUUCUUGGGUGUGAUUCUGUGAGUUAGAAGAUGGCAGCAAAAUACAUAGUAGGUUCUUUACUUGGAGCAACUGCAGUUGCAUAUAUCGGUGACCAUCUUAUUUCUGACAAGAAAAUAUUCGGAGGAACAACUCCGAGUACCGUUUCAAACAGUGAGUGGUGGGAAGAAACUGACAAAAAAUUCCAAGCAUGGCCUCGUACAGCUGGUCCACCUGUGGUCAUGAACCCCAUCAGUCGCCAAAAUUUCAUUGUCAAAAGCCGCGACUCUUAAAUGUUACUUGGGUUGUCAACCUUUUUUUUGGAAAUACUUCCUAGUCAUUAAGCAGUUCUAAUCUGCUUUUUAUUUUGAGCGGUGAAAUUUGAAAGAUUUGUUGUUUGUUGUUGUGAUAGGCAUUCUUAUUUCCUGGUGUCAGGAUGUUCAUUCUAAAUAAAUCAGCGAAAAAAGAAACUUCCCCUCA